AAACCAACAGGGAUUGCCUUAGUAGCGGCGAGUGAAGCGGCAAUAGCUCAAAUUUGAAAUCUGGCACCUUCGGUGUCCGAGUUGUAAUUUGAAGAAGGUAACCUUGGUAUUGGCUCUUGUCUAUGUUCCUUGGAACAGGACGUCACAGAGGGUGAGAAUCCCGUGCGAUGAGAUGUCCAAUGCCAUGUAAGGUGCUUUCGACGAGUCGAGUUGUUUGGGAAUGCAGCUCUAAGUGGGUGGUAAAUUCCAUCUAAAGCUAAAUAUUGGCGAGAGACCGAUAGCGAACAAGUACAGUGAUGGAAAGAUGAAAAGAACUUUGAAAAGAGAGUGAAAAAGUACGUGAAAUUGUUGAAAGGGAAGGGCUUGAGAUCAGACUCGAUAUUUUGUGGACCUAGCCUUCGUGGCGAGGAGCCAAACACAGCUUAUCGGGCCAGCAUCGGUUUUGGCGGCAGGAUAAUGGCGUAGGAAUGUGGCUUGACUUCGGUGAA
Molecule: ribosomal RNA, 488 nt
Filed under: Meyerozyma sp. DMKU-SK26
Lineage: Eukaryota; Fungi; Ascomycota; Pichiomycetes; Serinales; Debaryomycetaceae
Description: partial 28S ribosomal RNA
Rfam family: Eukaryotic large subunit ribosomal RNA
Source: RNAcentral